This 90-nucleotide transfer RNA is filed under the name Nitrospinota bacterium. RNAcentral describes it as "tRNA-Ser". It matches the Rfam family "tRNA". Rfam says of the family: Transfer RNA (tRNA) molecules are approximately 80 nucleotides in length. Lineage: Bacteria; Pseudomonadati; Nitrospinota. The record is from RNAcentral.
GGAGAGGUGACCGAGCGGCUGAAGGUGCACGCCUGGAAAGCGUGUGUGGAUUAACGUCCACCGGGGGUUCGAAUCCCCCCCUCUCCGCCA